Molecule: ribosomal RNA, 274 nt
Filed under: uncultured bacterium
Lineage: Bacteria
Description: partial 16S ribosomal RNA
Rfam family: Bacterial small subunit ribosomal RNA
Source: RNAcentral
AUACGGAGGGCGCAAGCGUUGUUCGGAAUCAUUGGGCGUAAAGCGCACGUAGGCGGCUCAACAAGUCGGGUGUGAAAUCCCGGGGCUCAACCCCGGAACUGCACUCGAAACUGUUGGGCUGGAGUCUCGGAGAGGAAGGCGGAAUUCCCGGUGUAGAGGUGAAAUUCGUAGAUAUCGGGAGGAACACCAGUGGCGAAGGCGGCCUUCUGGACGAUGACUGACGCUGAGGUGCGAAAGCGUGGGGAGCAAACAGGAUUAGAAACCCCAGUAGUCC